Molecule: ribosomal RNA, 301 nt
Filed under: uncultured bacterium
Lineage: Bacteria
Description: partial 16S ribosomal RNA
Rfam family: Bacterial small subunit ribosomal RNA
Source: RNAcentral
CAGCCGCCGCGGGAAUACGAAGGGUGCAAGCGUUAAUCGGAGUUACUGGGCGUAAAGCGUGCGUAGGCGGUUUGUUAAGUCUGCUGUGAAAUCCCCGGGCUCAACCUGGGAAUGGCAGUGGAUACUGGCAAGCUAGAGUGUGUCAGAGGAUGGUGGAAUUCCCGGUGUAGCGGUGAAAUGCGUAGAGAUCGGGAGGAACAUCAGUGGCGAAGGCGGCCAUCUGGGACAACACUGACGCUGAGGCACGAAAGCGUGGGGAGCAAACAGGAUUAGAUACCCCUGUAGUCCCUGUCUCUUAUAC